RNAcentral lists this ribosomal RNA (464 nucleotides) under uncultured bacterium. Its description in RNAcentral is "partial 16S ribosomal RNA". It matches the Rfam family "Bacterial small subunit ribosomal RNA", at positions 339 to 795 of the family's 1533-position model. The record is from RNAcentral.
CUACGGGUUGCACCAGUGGGGAAUAUUGCACAAUGGGCGCAAGCCUGAUGCAGCCAUGCCGCGUGUAUGAAGAAGGCCUUCGGGUUGUAAAGUACUUUCAGCGGGGAGGAAGGGAGUAAAGUUAAUACCUUUGCUCAUUGACGUUACCCGCAGAAGAAGCACCGGCUAACUCCGUGCCAGCAGCCGCGGUAAUACGGAGGGUGCAAGCGUUAAUCGGAAUUACUGGGCGUAAAGCGCACGCAGGCGGUUUGUUAAGUCAGAUGUGAAAUCCCCGGGCUCAACCUGGGAACUGCAUCUGAUACUGGUAAGCUUGAGUCUCGUAGAGGGGGGUAGAAAUCCAGGUGUAGCGGUGAAAUGCGUAGAGAUCUGGAGGAAUACCGGUGGCGAAGGCGGCCCCCUGGACGAAGACUGACGCUCAGGUGCGAAAGCGUGGGGAGCAAACAGGAUUAGAUACCCCAGUAGUC